AUGAUGAGUAUCUCCGGGCUGCCAUCAGGGCUUCUGGGAAGCAGGCCUGAGAUGAACUCCGUCAGUUCACACAGUCACAGAAGAUUGCAUCCAGGUGUUCAUCUGACAGAGUUGCUGAGAUAUGCUGGUCUGCCUGGGACAGCUGCAUCGGGAACUUCUUUUUGCAUCGAUGCUUCUCCACCACUUCCUCCUUUGGUUCCCCCGCCCAGCAGGUGCAGACAUUUGCUAACAGAGGUUCUUUGCUGUAUGUCAUAGCAUUUUACAACCAGCUUUCUGCAGAACAGCUAAAAAAAAAGAGUUCAACCUAAACAUAGCCAAACAACUUUUACCAGAGCAGUAAAGUGAUUUCCUCACUGGGCUCUGCUCUGAGGCAGAUCUGAGGAGCUCUGUUCACUCUGGGUCCUUUUGCAAGUUUACCCUGGGCUCACCUUUGGCAAGAUUCACCCUGCAAGAGACCUGGACCACCAUGUGGGAUCUGGUCUCCAUGGACUGUCACGCUGGCUUAUUUCAGACUUGUGUCCCCAGGGGUGGGUGGGAGCUGGCUGAGGCCUCGGGCCAGCUGGGUAGCAGAGCCUCAUGCCCGGCUGGCCCUGUGCUGCCUGGUGGCCUUCUGAGCUCUGCAGCAUGGGUGGUCCUCGUGCUGGUAGAGCACAAGGCUGUGGGAGUUCAUGGCCCCCUCUGGGGGACAUGACGAAUGGCCUUGCUGACAAAACGUGGUCUGCUUUCCAUCUCUGAGCUAUGAACGGUUUCAUUUUCAAAGCAGGAAAACAAACCACGGGAACCAGACACAACACACCCAGGCCACAAACGAUACAGCCAUUUUCUCAUCUCAAAUAAGGGACCUGCAAAGGUAAAAGAAAAACGGCUUUGUUAGAAUUCUCCGAUGAAAAACAAAUACGGAAAACUCAACCGGAGGUUGUAAUGAAACUUCCUUCACCUUCCCUCCCUGGUCCUUCUGCUGACCUGGUGGAGUCCCGGUCCUCUGUGGUGGGCCAACCUACCCGAUACUGGCCUUCUUCAGGGGCUUCCCAGAGGCCACUAUGGAGGUGGGAGGGGCAGGGAGUAGGGGGGAUUCAGGCAGGCGGGGGGUACUCUCAGCCCCUCUGUACGCCACCAGCCCGAUUUCUAUCUGAUUAAUUGAAUACAGUUCCAUUAAAAUUUCUUUUGAAGGAAAGAUUCAGCAGCUAAAGAACAUUUGAAAUAUUCUAGUCUAGUCUGAUCUCACAUGCAUUCUGAUGAGUGGUUCCAGUGAAGAAAUGAGGAAAAAAGAAUAGCAAUUUCACAAGAAGUGCAUUGAUUUCUGUGCCUCUCCUCUCUCUGAUGUUGCCCAUUAUUUCCCUUUAACCAUUUGAUCCUUUCUUUAGGUGUAUGAUAACUUAAGGCUGACUUCCGAAGAGUGAGAAAGAACUAGCUAAAAAUUAUAUCUUGUGAAUGACAAGAUAAGCAUGUGAGCUAACUAACAUGAUAAAUGAGCACCCUAUCUCAGCCUCCAGUAGUUGGCAGGUGGACCCAUGUGCCACAACUAGCUCAUGGAUAUAGAACCUAUCUUGUCUAUGUUCCUAUAGUAAUAUAGGGAAUAUAAUAGAUAAGUUGGGGUAGCUGCCAGAUUGAUAACGUCUCACCCUCCUACGCCCCCGCCACUGGCCAUGUGUGUAAGAAGUGGCUUUGUUUCCCUAGCCAUAGCUAAUUGAGCCAAGCUGGGCCAAUGGAGUCUUUCUCUUGCUAGUGACUAAGAGCAUAGACUCAGGCUAAGCCAGGAGGGGUGGUAAGAGGUUGGACCAUAAGCAGUGUGGGAGAGAGGACCAUGAGGAAAGGUUGGGGUGUAAAAAUGAAUACAGAGUGCAAGGUGGGCUGGAGGGAGCACUUGGAAGGAGGGGUGGGCCCCCGCUGCAUCAGAUCAAGGUAUUUGGAUUAUUCUUUUAGGCCUUUAGCAGCCAUUGGGAGGUGCCUUAAAUAGAGAUGUGAAAUCAAAUCUAAAAUUUACAAUGUUGAGUCUAGUGGUCCAGUGAAGAUGAAUAAAGAGUGGUGAGGUGGUUAGGAGGGUCUGUGUCAAAAGGGUUAAUGUGUUCACAUUUGGAAAAACUUUAUAGAGCGGGUGCUCAUUGUGUAUCAGAGGAGAGGGGAUAAGGACUUAAACUGUGGUGUCAGUGUGAAGAAGAAGGAGGAAGAGAUUCAUAAUACAGGCCCAAGAGAACCUGUUGACCAGUUGGAGGUGGGUAUGAGGGAGGGGCAAGAGACAAGCAUCAUUUAGUCCACAGAAGGACUGAUAGGACUUUGUAGGAAAAGAAGCUAUUUGGAAAGUGGUGGGGAUGUAUAUGGAAAUGAGUUUUGUCCUGAAGAGUGGGACUAUUUUAACAUUCAGAGGACUUUCAGGAGAUGUAGUUUCAAUCCACGCCUUCUACGAAACUAAUGUUAUAGCAAACAAGUAUCUUACGUGAUGAUGUGAAAAAAUCAGAAAGUGCUAACAAGGAGGUCAUCCAAGAAACAGGUUAUUAAAAAGGAGCGUGAUAUGUUUUGGAUCUGUGUUCCUGCCCAAAUCUCAGGUCAAAUUGUAAUCCCUAGUGUUGGAGGAGGGGCCUGAUGGAGGUGACUGGAUUCUGGGGGCAGAUUUUCUCCUUGCUGUCUCGUGAGAGUGAGUGAGUUCUCAUGAGAUCUGAUUGUUUAAGGGGGUAGCACCUGCCCCAUCUCCUCCUCCUCAGGCCAUGUGAGACGUGUAUGCUUCCCUUUGCCUUCCUCUAUGAUUGUAAGUUUCCUGAGGCCUCCCCAGUCAUGCUUCCUGUACAGCCUGCAACCGUGAGCCAAUUAAACCUCUUUUCUUUGUAAAUUACCUAGACUCAGGUAUUUCUUUAUAGCAGUGUGAGAAGGGACUGAUACAGCGUGUGACCCCAGUGCUAAUGUGAAGCCCCCUCCGGAGCAGUUGUGCUUCUUACUGAUUCCGAGCAGAGCAAGGACACAAUAGCCUUCGGUGAGUGUGGACUGCUUUGCAGAACCUACAUACACAUUGGGCCCAUGGAAACAUGUGGGCCAAACUGCUUUGGGGAAGAAUGCUCAGAACAGAUCUUAUUUUCCAUCAGUUCUUUACCCUACUCCUAUUCUUUUAGAACUUCCCUCAGAGAUUUUCUUUCAAGCUUCUGAAAUCUACGCUUUCUCUCUCCCUCUUUCUUUUUUCUUCUCUAAGUCCCUCUUCCUGUCUCUAACUCUCUCUUUUUUUUUCUCUCUCUCUCUCUCACACACACACAAACACACACAUGUUGAUAUAUGGAAAACUCUGUGAUUUAUUAGGAUAGUUCUUCUGAAUGAAGGGAAGAUGUAGGGGUGGGGAAUCAUAGAAAGAG
Callithrix jacchus (white-tufted-ear marmoset) is the source of this 3335-nucleotide long non-coding RNA. The record is from Ensembl. Lineage: Eukaryota; Metazoa; Chordata; Mammalia; Primates; Cebidae.